AGAAUUAAGCAUUUAUCCUGCCUUUCCAUAAGGCACUGUAUUCAGGGAAAUCCUAGAUGAUCAGGGAAACUCUACAGAAAAAUGACAGCUAAUAAAUGUUAAAGGAAUAAUAGAAUUUAAAAGUCAACAUUUUUUUGCAACCACUAAAUAAAUUAUUAAUCCAGGCAUGGAUUAUCUGUCAAUUGUUGUCAAAACCCAUGUGGCAAAUGGGGUUGACGGAGAACUGGACAUUCCUUGGCUGCAAGAGGAAAACGUGACUUCCCAGUGGUGGGAUCGGACUCUCUCUCCUUCAUCCAUGCUAGUGGUCCACACUAGAAUCAUUAAUGGUGGGACCUCUAGGUACGUGUUCCCUGAUGUGAAGAAUGUCACCUCUGAUGUAAUCUGGUCAUGUAAACUAGACAUGAGGCUGUAAUCAGAGAGACCCAAAAAGUGGAACAUUCUACAGGACCACUGGCCAGCUUCACCAGCAAGUCAGUAGUGAGGAAAAGGAACUGGUCUAGACUAAAGGAGAGUCUUAAAGAACAGAGGACCCAGAUGCAGGAGGUGCUCCUGGACUGGACAGAGGGAGCAGCUGGAAAAGGCAGUGUCGGUACAACUGGGGAGAUUUGAUUUUGGAUUAGGUAUUUGAUGAUAUGAAGGAAUUAUUGUGUGUGAUAGAAUGUUGUUGUUUGGGCUAGGUAGUAGAAUGUUCUUAUCUUUAGUGAUGCAAACCCAAGUGUUUCAGGGUGGAAAUCUUUAAAAUCUUCAGCAUAUAAAAUUAGUGAAAGGUAAACAAAAUAAAUAAAUCCCUGGGGGGUGGGUGUUGAAAGGCUAGCCACUGUGGAUGUGAGGAGAUUCCUGCCACCCUGGCUGACACACUGUGCAAGGGGGUUAGGGGCUACCCAGCAAUCCCCACAUCCAGCACUUAGCCCUCUCCCGCCCCCACCACCCCAGGCUUCUCAAGAACAGACCUACUCAGAGUUAAUGGUGGCCAGCUUUGGAGGGAGAUAGACCUGGGGCCACUCCCAGCUCUAUCACUUAAUGUUAAUAAUA
Ceratotherium simum simum (southern white rhinoceros) is the source of this 1032-nucleotide non-coding RNA. Lineage: Eukaryota; Metazoa; Chordata; Mammalia; Perissodactyla; Rhinocerotidae. The record is from RefSeq and is a predicted model, not a curated record.